Molecule: long non-coding RNA, 8563 nt
Organism: Passer domesticus (house sparrow)
Lineage: Eukaryota; Metazoa; Chordata; Aves; Passeriformes; Passeridae
Exons: 5
Source: RefSeq, a predicted model, not a curated record
GCGGGACCGGGCAGUUGUGGCUCAGAGGGAAGGGAUAAACUCAAAUAGGAGGAUUUUAGGAGAGUAUUUAGCGACAGAGCCUUGUGGUUCAUGUGGGUUGGGAGUCCUGUCCCACAGAGUCACGGAGCACCCACAGCUCCUCCAGGAAAUGCCUUCCAUGCCCCGCCAGCCUCCCGCUGCUCAUUGCACGGAGCGAGAGGGGGCAGAGGGCUGAGGGGCAGCCCUGGGAAGGCGAGGGCUGCGGCACGGAGCCAGGGUUGUUCUGUAAAGCGGGACCCGCACACGGCUUCCCUCCCGCAGCAAGCUCCAGUCCCCACAGAAGGGCCGCUCUCUACCGCUGCCAGGGCUUGGCAAGCAGAGAAACUGCUGGGAAGUACAAAUGCGUUUUGGUUUGAGGUGCUUGCUUCCUCCUGGGCUGGAGAAUGCCAGGCUGGAUUGUGCAUGGGAAGAAGGGGGAAUGCAGACAGAGGCAGGCACAGGGCGUUCUGGUUGGAACAUGAGGACUUUGCCAGAGGUGAAGGCCCUGUAGGACUCUCCCAGCUUCUCAGCCUCAAGCUCUCUCUCUUCCCGAGCUGGGGAAUAGAGUAAAUCUUCAGUUAUGUAAAACUGCAGUGAGCCCCCCAAGAUUCAAGAGUGCUUUUGUUUGACCAAGGAACAAACAAGUCUCGUCAAACAGUUCUAGUUAUUUAGCACAGAUCAUCAUCUAUUUUUAACUACAGUUAAUUAGGCAAAAGGAGAACCUGUGGCUUCCUCUUGGGACUUUGGGGGGAAAAAAAAGUCCAGAAAGGAUCAUCUUCCAGGGCUGCUCCCAGUCCUCAGCUUGUCUUCCAGUUCAGGAGUGGCAAAACUGCAUCACCUUACAACCAGUUGUCAAUAGGUAUCUGUACCAUGUGUUGCUGCCUAUCUGCAUCUCAGAAAUUAAUCCAGAUAGGAUAAUCCAGUUUUUAAUCCUUAUUGAUAAAAUUCAUGUGCCUGCCUUCCAGGUACCUGCUAAAAAUCCCCACAGAGACCAUAGAGCAAUUAGAAGACCUAUUUUAAGGACAGCCAAGCAGCCUUUUGGAAUGGUUUUUGUGACAGUUUUAAUGUCCUUGAUGUUACUGUAUUGUUAAAAAUCCCUUGUUAGUGGGGCAAUAAAGAACAUCCCAGUGAGAAGAGGACUGAACUCAGACCCCACUGGACACAGAGCUUUGCUGUUGAUUGAGGGAGGUGCAUCUCUUUUGGGCAAACAAGGGAUGUUUUCCAUAGUAAGUUGUUUCACUUUUGCAGAAUUGUCAUGAGGGAAAAGCCCUGAGCAGAGGAAGAUGGACGGGAUAGAGCUUGAUCAGGAAAAGGAAUAAAGCAGCCUUGAGAGUGGUGCUCAGAAGGACAGACAGUACCUCAAGCAGUGCUGGGAGUGCCACUGAUCCACAAGGAGGUCACCACAUAGCCACUGUAUAAACAAUUGGUUGCUUAAAAGUCUACCUAAUGUUUUUUUAAAAAUUAUUUUAUAAAGGAGCUCAAGAUGAUUUUGCUCUUUAAUGCCAGACCAUUUUCCAGCAGACUGCAGUACUUGUCAAGAAAAGGAAAAAAGAAAGGUCUGAUUUUAGGCACUCUAACAUGACAAAUCCCAUUAUAUCCUUGCUCUUGAGGGACCCCAAAAUUCCUAACCCCUUUAGGCAUGCAGUGUUCACAUCUGCCCAAGCUGUAUUCCCAUGCAACACUUGGUGAAACACUUUUUUCUGGAAAGUAACAGGAGUUUUCUACCUGCCUGGGCCCCUUCUGAUUCUCACUGUGGGGAAUGUAGAAAUUCAUCUCUAAAAAUGCUUCAGUUUUUUAAUGGCACACUGCUGAGAUCAAAGAGGUUUGAUGUUUUCCUUGGUAGCCUGGUAGCUGAGGAGUGUGUGCCCAGAUAGGAGUGAAAUAUUACAGACUGACCAUGGGUGCUGUGUGUGGUGGUAGAAACUGCUCCUGUUUCUUCUACCUCUCAUACCCAGCAGAGUGCAGCUCUGAAGGAGCAAUGUCCCUGAGUAAUUGGACCCUUAGUCCCCCAAAAUCAAGCAAGAUAGACUAACUAAUUGGUUUUUUGACUUGAUCCAUGGUCAAUCGGAUAUAAAAAGGACUAUAUAAGUUAUUUCUCAGUAUAUUAGUGAUUUAUUCUUAAAAUUACAUUUUGCUCUGGAGAAGAGGAGUCUCAGGGGGAGCAUCUUUGCUGUCUAAAACUCCCUGACAGGAGGUUGUACCCAGGUCAGGGUCAGUCUCUUCUGUCAAAACUCAAGUAAAAGGAUGAGGAAUGGCCUUUAGUUGUGCCAGGGGAAGUUCAGCUUAGAUAUUAGAAAAAGAAAAUGUUCACUGGAAGAGUGGUCAGGCACUGGAAUGAGCUGCCCAGAGAGACAGUGGAGUCUUUGGAAGUGUUCAAGAGGUGCUUGGAUGUGGCACCUGGGGAGAUGGUUUAGGGAUGGUUUUGGAAGUGCUGAGUGAUGGCUGGUCCAGAUGAUCUUGAAGGUCUCCUCCAACCUUGAUGAAUCUUUCAUUCUGUGAUUCUGUAAGUUUUUUAAUUAGGAUUCAUAGUUCGGGGAGGGGAAAAAAGGCCUUUGGUAUGCUUAAGAAGAUAACUGUACAAAGAGGAACUGCAAAUAAUGCAGUGUUCCUGGAAGCUAAACCUAGAACAACUGAACAACUGAGCAGUCAGAAAAUCAAGCCCUCAAAAGUCACUGGAUGUACUGAACACUUGGGCUUUUUACAGUCUUUAUGAUUUCCUCUCAAUAUAAUAAAAAGGACAAUAUUCCUUCGUCACAAGAGCAUAGAGGAUUAAUUCAUUGAAGUUUGUGAAGCAUUUGGGGGGGUAUGAUAAAAACUUCUACUAACACAGAACUAGAUUUCUGCUUUGUAAGGAAUUUCCUGGUUUGGGCUACCUGGUUUUUGUUGGGUUUUUUUAAAUUGUUUGUUUGUUUAUGAGUUUGUGGUUUUGUUGUUUAUGUUUAUUUCUUUUUACUCCUUUGAAACACGCUCUCAUAAAAUAUUUUACCCUUGAGAUCUAUGGGAUAAGGCUUCAUGAAUCACUAGUAUUUAAGAAUUGCUGACCUGAAACACUUGCCAAAAGUCACAAACCACUUAGUACUCUGCAAGUUUGUGAGAUCUUAAGAGUCAAGUAAUAUUUUACCAUUCCUGAAGCUAUUACCCAGCUUUGCAGGAAGAGAGGUAUUUUGAAACCUAAGAUACUAAACGAUGGUACACAAUGAGCUAUUACUGUCAUAAAACUUUAAUAGAAUCCUGUAACCAGCCUCUAUUGCAGGGAUUUGAUGAGUGGCAUUUUAAGUAUAUAUUAUUUCUAUGUCAGUAUCUUUCAUAAGUCACAAGUAAAUACAUUUCACAAGUAAAUACAUGAUUGUGCCAAAGACAGUCCUUGUUCCAAGUAGACCAUCUCAACAGCCAAAGUGGAGGAGAUGAGGAGAAGCUAAAUAAUCUUCCAAAGGGAGGGGAAGCUAAGAGAGAUUAUGUGACCUGGUGAAAGAUUAUACAAGUUGAACAAUCAUUUAUAACACUGUGGCAAGGCUAUCAAGAGACAGUUCCUUAAUUACAUCCAGUGCCAAAAUGCAGCUGGAUGCAGUGGAGUCCUGAUGCCCAGAGAGCAGUGCUGAGUGCCCACGCGUGGUUGGCAACACGAACACGUGCACUUUGUGUCUUGCUUGGAUCUAAGCUAUCAAACCUUCUAAAGUGCUGCUGUAGAACCAGUUCAUGCAACUCCACACUCAGCAGAUUUUCCCUCUGGUCUUAUCCCUGCAGCAGGUCUCCAUCACAGACAAAAAGGGAAAGGAGGGAAGAGGCAAGAAGAACCUGUCAGAAGAACUGAAGGGGAAGCUGGAGCCAGUCCUGGUCAGUCCCCCUUUACAAAGUCCCAUUUUGGGUGACUUGAACUGGCAGGUGAGGACACCUCACUCUGAGGCCUGCACAGAGUGUGGGCUUUGGCAGUUUUCUGGAGGUGUGCCAGUGAAACUGACUCUAACAGAAGGAGAGGAAAAGCAACUCAAAGGGACAAAGCUGCAAAGGAAGUAAUAGGAAAAUAACAUUAUGAGAAGAGGAAAGCAUCUUUGAAAGCUGGCAAGUAGAAAAUUAAUUUCAACCUGAAACUGCCACUUUACCAGGAUGGAAACCAGAGAAGUUCUCUCAGGAAAUAAGCAAAAUGCUCAGAAAUCCAGGUUUCAACAGUGAAGUUCAACGUGAGCUGCAAAUGCCUCAGGGAAAUCUGCAGGCAGAUCAGCAAAUAACGAAUUACAGAAGUGAAGUCAGGAUGUAAUAAAAGCCUCAGUACCCCUUUGAGAUAACAUUUGCUUUUACCUGGAGAGGUUCCUGAGAGGGUUGUGGGAGCUUGAAAGAAAGCACUAGCUCCAAAACUGCAAACCUCAGAAGCAGGAAGAAAAUAAUUGCCUCCCAAAGAAACACGUAGCUAAGAAGAUGCCUCCGCUGGGAGAGGUCAAGUCAGUAACAACCAUGUCUUUAGUCAUCACUGAAAUCCUGAAAUCAGAAAGGCAGUCAUGCAAGACAAAAAAAGAAUGGCUUAAAGGGCUGAAAUAUUUUUUUUCUAUAUUAAAGGUGGGACCAAGCCAUGAAGUACAGCUCUAACUUGAUCUCCAGACCCAAAAUUCACAAAAGAUUCGAUUUGGGUUUUUCUGGGCUGGGCAAAUUCCUCUGGAUCACUCAGAGUUUGGUAAUGUUUAUUUCUUUGGGUUUUUCUAUCUCAGGUUUUGCUCCAGACCCAGACAGGUGUGUAAAAUCCUCUGCAGAACAGAACCAAGAGCAGAUUUGGUGCAAAUGAAUUUUGUGUUGUCAUGCAACAGCUCUGAAGAGCCAGGACACUGUUCCAUUGUCACUGUGCCUGUGCUCAUCCUGCUUUUUGUUGAAUGUGGUGGCACCACACAGUUGCUGCUAGCACUGCAGGUGUACAUUCAUGCACCUGGGAUACCAAUCACAGUGAAGGCCAGUGAGCUUUUGGGGCUGAGGGCAUAGAUGGAAAGCUCUCUCUCCUCACCAAACCAUACAUCCAUCAGCUCAUCUCAUCUUGCUGGGACACAGUUUAUUUGUUGGAGGCUUCACCAUGGGAAGCCACACUAGAGGAUGCCAUGGGGACAGGAGGAGCCUGUCACCAUCUGUCCCCCUCUGCUUCCUCAUGUGGGGACUGGAACCCAUCAGUCAUCCCCACCCAGCACCAUUUUGGGCUCCUGUGAUUCCUCCUGUGUGUUAAAGAAAGGAAGGGAUGCUGCUGAAGCUUUUGUCCAGGCAUACCCAGGCUGUUUGUGUUCUCAGACAAUAAGCUGCAAUAUCCAGAGAUUUAAGUCAAAGGUCAAGGUCCUGUUGUGCAAGGCAGGAUAUUUUUCCCAGAAGUUAGUUCCUGCCCUGAAGAAGCUCCAGAGACAAAAGAAGACUCUGGCCCAGCUGAUGACAGAAGUAGAAGACACUGGGCUUUGAACUGUAACAUCUGUGUGUGCUUCCUGGUUCAAUGUUCAUCUGGAAUGAUCGAGAGGUUACUCGGAGUGGUUUGGCAGGGACUUGCAAGAUCACACUUUUCAGCUCAGACCAGCCUGCAUCAAAGGUAUUUACACGUGCAUGGAUUUAAGUGUAAAGUGUCCAGAGAGAAAAAUGUGCUACUGUUAAAUCCAAAAUUAUCUCCUCUGGCUCAGGGAGUUCCCAGGCCACAAGUGAAGGCAGACUGAGUGUUUAUUCCAAGAAAAUACUGCUAUUUAUUAUUUUUCUGCAUUCAGCAAAUUUUUCCCUAGGUAUCCACUUUUGGCCACAUAUCAGAGGUGAAAUACUGCACCAGAUGGAUCUUGACCUGGUCUCUGUGGCCAGUUUUAUGUUCCUAGGCCUGUGCAGCACUGACUCUUUGUGGCAGUCUAGGUGAUUUCCAGCAGCAUGAGGAGUUCAUGUCAUUGGUCUCCAGGGGGUUGUAAUAGGUACAGAAGGAAAAUAUCACAGAAUAAAUCCUUUAUCUUUCUGGCAAAGCUGAAGGGAGGGCAGCAGUUUGGGAGGUUUAUGGUUACUGCAGGCGCAGUUUUUAAGCAUAGCUUAAAUAGUUGUAUGUGUUAUGCCUCAGCUAAAUCUCUUUUACCACAUCCAAAAAAAAGUUUAGACAACAUAUAAUGUUCUCUGUUCUAAAAGAGUGAGGGAGCACUUCACAGUCUGUCUGCUGGAGGCUGUGCUUUCCUGCCAUUGCUCCAGGGAGAAGUGGUAUUGGACGAGAUUCAUUGUUCCUCCUCUCAGCUUCACUGGCAUCAGCUCAUGAAACAGGAGACAGUGGCCAUGAGUUGUGGCUUGGGAUCCUCAGACUGGACUGUGUGACCUCUUGAGGUCCCUUCCAAACAACAUUUCUGGAGUCUAUAGAAGGCCUACACUCACCUGAAUCAGUAACUCAAGGCAGCUGUUCCAGGGCAUCUCAAAUGGCUUCACACAUUUCUGUGGUGGCAGCUGCAUCGUGUCCCCUUGUCAGCUGAACUGGCUGUUUGACAGUUCCCCAAGCAAGCAGGCGGAUAUGAUCCAACCCUUUGGGACAACCUGGCACAUCUGACCUGCUCUUCAGAUGUCACUUCAGAAGGACCUGUGUCUAUUUUGAUUCUGUGUGCUUUUGAAGGGGCUGAUUCUGCCCCUUCUACUCUGCUUUUGUGAGACCCCACCUGGAGUAUUGCGAGCAGUUCUGGUGCCCCCAACAACAGAAGGAUGUGGAACUGUUGGAAUAAAUCCAGAGGAGGGUCAUGGAGUUGAUAAGAGAACUGGAAAACCUCCCCUGUGAAGGCAGGCUGACAAAGGUGGGGCUGUUCAGCCUGGAGAGGAGAAGGUUGUGUGGACACCUCAGAGCAACCUUCCAGUAUCUAAAGGGAAGUAUCUAUUCUACUGGGAAGCUGGAGAGGGACUCUUGAUCAGGAACUGCAGUGAUACGACAAGGAGUAAUGGGUACAAAUUGAAAGAGGAGAAAUUUAGGUUAGAUAUUAAAUGUGGUUAGACAAUGGAAUGACUGGUUUGCCCAGGGAGGCUGUGGAUGUCCCAGCCCCAGUGUUCAAGGCAGGGUUGGACAAGGCCUUGAGCAGCCUGAUCUAGUGAGGUGUCCCUGCCCAUGGCAGGGGGCCUUGGGACCAGAUGGUCUUUAAGGUCCAUUUCAAACCCUUAUCAUUCCAUGAUCCUAUGAGUAUCUCAUGUGUCCAGAGAUAUCUCCAACGACAGGACACGCUUGUCUUCAGGAAACUGAAUCAAGUCCUGGAUGUCUCCUGGGAUGAACAGAAGCAAUUUUGCUUUUUCAUCUGCAGCACAGAAGGUGUCAGGAUAUCCUCAGUGGCCCGUUCACCUUAAAUAAUCAUUCUCUGCAGGGCUGUGGUUGGUGGCUUUAGCUUGCAGAACCCCAGCACCAGGUCACACAAACACCCAAGUGCUGCAAUGCACAAAUGAUGACCUGGGAUAAAGCCCUGCUGUCAGAUUACAUUUGUUCAACAGCUGCAGCUCCCCAACCAGGGCCACAGGUCAGGCUCAUGUGCACAGCAGCUCAUUAACACAUUGUUUGGGUUUUGCCUCGUUGUUUCUGCUGUCACUCAGUGAGCUGGGUGUAGGUAUUGGUCCUGCUGGCUUUUUGGGGAAAAGCCACCCUUUAGCAGUUCCCAUGGUGGCAGGACAGGGGCUGACACAGCCUGGAUCCCAGUUCCACUGAUGUUUUACCACAGACACCAAAGGGACCCUCAGUGCUGAAAAGCAUUUGUCACAAGGCCAAGCAAAGAAGGAGGAGCCCUAGGGACAGUAAGGUGGUUUCUAAAGUUAAAGUUACUUAAAUCAAUUGUUAUUCAAGUGCAAUUGCUGUAGCUUCCUUGUGGUAUUUCCCAGAAGCCUGAAUACCUUUGCUUUUCUCAGUACAGAUAGUGGAAUAUCUUUAAUAAAAUAUAUUCCUACUGACAUUUCUUUUAAUGCAAUGUUAGAAGUUUCCAGAAAGAUGCUUGAACUAUAGAAAUUUAAGUCAGUAUUACUUAUAUUUAAAACUAAUUCUCUGUUUUGAAUCUGAGCAAUUGAUUGCCCUGAUCUUGGAAUAAAAGUUCCAAAGAGAGCUUCCCACAACAUGACGUGGAAGGAUGGAGAUGUGCUCCACACCCUGGAGAUGGAGGGAGUACUGUAGUAGAGCCAGCCUGUUUCCCUGGAAAUCAAACCACCUGAAACUUGGCUGUGCUAUCAGAACACUGCAGCCACUGCCAAGGUCCUCUCUGCAUAUUUAAAUUUACACCAACUCUGUGUUGUGACAAAGUGCCAAGCACUGAUGGGAACCUUCUGUCUCUAGGAAGAAUUUUGGACACAUAAUAACAACAAAGGAUUAAUAUAGCUUUGCUUGAAAGCAGAAUUUAAAUGAGGUUAUUUGGGAAAAAGCAAUCUUAUUUCUUUGGAAUACUAUUUCAUAAUAUGAAGAUAUAAUGAAUUAACAUUUAUCUGGAAAAUGCUUUUUUUUUUGAUUUCACAACUACUUUUUUUUAACAAGAAAAACAACAACAGUAAUAGUGAUAGUAAUAAUAAUAGCAAUAAACCAAACUUAAUUCUGAAUAAACUGAAAAUGGGGAAAAACUCA